Molecule: ribosomal RNA, 946 nt
Filed under: uncultured soil bacterium
Lineage: Bacteria
Description: bacterial SSU rRNA
Rfam family: Bacterial small subunit ribosomal RNA
Source: RNAcentral
UACUGGGCGUAAAGAGUGUGUAGGCGUCCUAAGUUCGGUGUGAAAUCUCCCGGCUCAACUGGGAGGGUGCGCCGGAAACUGGAGGGCUUGAGUAUGGGAGAGGAAAGCGGAAUUCCUGGUGUAGCGGUGAAAUGCGUAGAUAUCAGGAGGAACACAUGCGGUGUAGACAGCUUUCUGGACCAUCACUGACGCUGAGACACGAAAGCGUGGGUAGCAAACAGGAUUAGAUACCCUGGUAGUCCACGCCCUAAACGAUGCAUAUUUGGUGUGAGCCGUUCAUUCGGUUCGUGCCGGAGCUAACGCGUUAAGUAUGCCGCCUGGGGAGUACGGUCGCAAGGCUGAAACUCGAAGGAAUUGACGGGGGCCCGCACAAGCGGUGGAGCAUGUGGUUCAAUUCGACGCAACGCGAAGAACCUUACCUGGGCUCGAAAUGCAGGAGACCGGGGUAGAAAUAUCCCUUUCUCGCAAGAGACUGCUGUAUAGGUGCUGCAUGGCUGUCGUCAGCUCGUGUCGUGAGAUGUUGGGUUAAGUCCCGCAACGAGCGCAACCCUCAUCCCUAGUUGCCACCGGGUAAUGCCGAGCACUCUAGUGAAACCGCCCCGGAUAACGGGGAGGAAGGUGGGGAUGACGUCAAGUCCUCAUGGCCUUUAUGUCCAGGGCUACACACGUGCUACAAUGGUCGGUACAAACCGUCGCAAAGCUGCAAAGUGGAGCUAAUCGGAAAAAGCCGGCCUCAGUUCGGAUUGGAGUCUGCAACUCGACUCCAUGAAGCUGGAAUCGCUAGUAAUCGCAGAUCAGAACGCUGCGGUGAAUACGUUCCCGGGCCUUGUACACACCGCCCGUCACACCACGAAAGUCGGCUGUUCCAGAAGUCGCUGUUGCAACCCGCAAGGGGGCUAGGCGCCAAAGGAAUAACCGGUAAUUGGGGUGAAGUCGUAACAAGGUA